AAAGGGAUUUUGGCCAAGUUAAUUACAGAGGUAGAAAAUCAUGAUAUGAGAGUUACUAAUUGUAGUGCUGUGCCGUUCGAGAGCUUGGGCUUAGACAUUACAAUUGUCACACAGAUUGAAAAGGGUUUCACUGAAAAUGUGAAAGAAUGUGUAAGAAGGCUCCACUCCUCACUCCAAUUGGCUAGCCAUUGAUACUUUGCAUCAAGUGGAUGAUCAACUCGUAAUUUACGUUGGGAAUCAUGCUUCAAAGUAGUGGGAAUGUUGUUUCUGAAAAUAUCUAAUGCAAUUGCUGUUAUUUAGUUUCAGUAAAUUAUUGAGUUUGAAUUAGUCAAAGUAUACUUAGUUAUUAGUUAGUGGAUCACUUACUGUGUGAGUUUACAAUGGAGUUAGUUAGCUUCCAUUGUGCUUAAUAUGCUGUUGCUAUCCAUCCAUUUAAAGGUUAGAUGUACUUAAGUUUUAUGAAUCAAGUUUAAUAUAUUGCAUUCUUAUUCUAUAUCUAUGUAAGUUCUUAAUUCCAA
RNA transcript from Beta vulgaris subsp. vulgaris (sugar beet), 518 nucleotides. RefSeq lists it as uncharacterized. Lineage: Eukaryota; Viridiplantae; Streptophyta; Magnoliopsida; Caryophyllales; Amaranthaceae. The transcript has 2 exons. The record is from RefSeq and is a predicted model, not a curated record.